Ribosomal RNA from Gouania willdenowi (blunt-snouted clingfish), 118 nucleotides. The record is from Ensembl. NCBI's taxonomy places the organism in Eukaryota, Metazoa, Chordata, Actinopteri, Blenniiformes, Gobiesocidae.
AAUUGUGACCAUACCAGCCUGUCACUGCCCGAUCUCAUUAGAUCUAGGAAGCUAAGCAGGUCUGGGCCUGGUUAGUAGUUGCAUGGGAGACCACUGAGAAAUCCAGGUGCAACAGUGG